RNAcentral lists this long non-coding RNA (363 nucleotides) under Citrus maxima (pomelo). RNAcentral's name for it is "long non-coding RNA (CMAX_LNC000203)". Lineage: Eukaryota; Viridiplantae; Streptophyta; Magnoliopsida; Sapindales; Rutaceae. The record is from RNAcentral.
AAGAAUCCAUAUCUCAAAAUCACUUAUGACCAAUAAAUCCUUAUAAGACUCAAGCAAAAAAAUCACGCUUUUGCUGCGCUACUCUGAUACUUCAAUCAUAUGCUUCUUAGAAACAAAAUCACAAAGCCUAAAGGUUUGGCACAGACUUAGUUCUAUUCAUCCUUACAAAAUCCUUCCCAAGCGAGGUAGGAUGUCAUAAACAUCCACACAUUUCCGGUCGGGAACCGCUCUGAUACCAUUUGUAACACCCCAAUCCGAAAUCUAAGGGCAAAUAUGUCCACAACUCACAUAUAAAUUUAAAUAACUCUUUACAACCGAUAAAAUUCGAGCCUCAAAUACAAAAGCCAGCGGAAUAACUUAAAA